This is a long non-coding RNA of Oryza sativa Japonica Group (Japanese rice), 1509 nucleotides long. RefSeq lists it as uncharacterized. NCBI's taxonomy places the organism in Eukaryota, Viridiplantae, Streptophyta, Magnoliopsida, Poales, Poaceae. The record is from RefSeq and is a predicted model, not a curated record.
ACAGGGUAGACAACGCGGGAUUGAGGAGGAGGUGCUGGACCUUGCUGGCGGCCACACGACGGCGGGGUGUAGACAACGCAAGAUUGGGGAGGAGGCACUGGACCUUGCUGGCGGCUACACAGCAGCGGCGGCGACGUGGCAGAGGUGCUAGAUUUGGCUGUCGGUGAGGACUCAACCGGUCUUGGGCGAGGUUAUCCACAUCGUGCCGCUAUUCUUCUCCCGCAAACAUCAGUUACUUGGUUCUAGCAGCUAGGGGUAGAAGAAGAUGACGAAGACCUCGCCGACGGGGCCGCUGCCCCCUCCCCCACCGCAGCUGGCGCCGCGUCUCCCCCUCCUGGUCACGCCGUCGCCGACAGAGAGGGGAGGGGAGGGGGAGGAGGAGGAGGAAGGGUAGGGGAGGACGCAUCUGGAGGGAGAGGAGGAGACGCAAAUGACUUAAAAAGGCGUGGAGAUAUCGAGGAGAUAAGGGCGGGGAGGCGCACACGUGCGACCCGGCGUGUUUUUUCGGAUUUGUAGUCCCAGUUGGUGCUACCAAUCGGGACUAAAGUGAUGAUAUUUAAUUCCGGUUUAUAAUACCAAUCGGGACUAAAGAUCCUUGGGGCCUGACACGGCCUAUCAACUUUUUGAAGCGGGACAAAAAAAAUGAUCUUACCAACCAGGACUAAAUGAUUGUAUUUACGGUUAAUGAUGGUCGUGGUGGUGCGUAUGUGAUAGAAAAAAAAUCGAAGUACAUGGAGCAGAGCCAACUAAGAUUUUAUUCGCAAGGGGAUGGAUAUAAGAAGGAAACACCAGCUUUGCUGAGUGGGACAUCAUUUAUCUUCCCAGAGACCAAGGGAGGCGAGGAAUUCACGAUCUUGGGAUUAAGGUUAUUGCUUUGCUUAGCAAGUGGUUACUUACCAGUUACCACCGAUGAAAUGUGGCAAUAGUUGCUACGCAAUAAAUAUUUGGGAUCAAUCUAUCUAUCGCGGUUGCCACAUCAAUCUAACUCAUGUACGUUUUCUCCUACAAUUGAUCGUAAAAAUCAAUUCUCCACUCCUCCAUCAUCAUUUUCCCCAUGAUUUCUUAUUUCAAUUCUGGCUUUAAUUUGCUAAAUUUAAUCUCUAUUUAACCGCCGCUGAUAAUGGCCGAUCGAUUAGUUUGAUUUGCUCUAAUUUUGGAAAAAUGGGAAAGAGGAGAUCGAGUAGAUCAAAAGCCAUAUAUCAAUUUUGGGAGAUCAAGAAAGAUUCGGUCGAAUUUGAUGGGGAGGAUCAGUUCCGAUAUUUUACGGGCACGGGAGUACUUUCUACUUUCUGGAGGUUGAAGACGGUAGUAGGAUAUGCGAGUUGAAAAAAUGACUUUACCCGUUUUAACGCACGGGUAUUUUUUUUCUAGUAUAUAUAUGUUUGGGAGAUGGAUUUUAUGUGUUCCUAAAGAGAUGGAAAAUCUAAUUUUGAUGGGUGCAAUUGUUGAUCCAUUUGGCUAAGCAUGAACGGAAUCGUUUGUAAUAACAAGAUGGUGUCUUUUCUUUUA